GCUGGUUUAGCUCAGUCGGUAGAGCAUGAGACUCAUCAUCUCAAGGUUGUAGGUUCGAGCCCUACAUUGGGUG
Podarcis muralis (Common wall lizard) is the source of this 73-nucleotide non-coding RNA. The record is from the annotation of a RefSeq genome assembly. NCBI's taxonomy places the organism in Eukaryota, Metazoa, Chordata, Lepidosauria, Squamata, Lacertidae.